UACGUAGGGUGCGAGCGUUAAUCGGAAUUACUGGGCGUAAAGCGUGCGUAGGCGGUCCGCUGUGUCCCGUGUGAAAUCCCCGGGCUCAACCCGGGAACUGCGUCCGAGACUGGGAGGCUAGAAUCCGGGAGAGGGAUGUGGAAUUCCAGGUGUAGCGGUGAAAUGCGUAGAUAUCUGGAGGAACAUCGGUGGCGAAGGCGGCAUCCUGGACCGGUAUUGACGCUGAGGCGCGAAAGCCAGGGGAGCAAACGGG
Molecule: ribosomal RNA, 253 nt
Filed under: uncultured bacterium
Lineage: Bacteria
Description: partial 16S ribosomal RNA
Rfam family: Bacterial small subunit ribosomal RNA
Source: RNAcentral